CCCUUAGAUGUUCUGGGCCGCACGCGCGCUGCACUGAUGCAUUCAACGAGUUUUACCUUGGCCGAGAGGCCUGGGCAAUCUUUUAAACCUGCAUCGUGAUAGGGAUAGAUUAUUGCAAUUAUUAAUCUUGAACGAGGAAUUCCUAGUAAACGCAAAUCAUCAAUUUGCAUUGAUUACGUCCCUGCCCUUUGUACACACCGCCCGUCGCACCUACCGAUUGAAUGGUCCGGUGAAAUCUCGGGAUUGUGGCCAGUUCACUUUAUUGGGAGUUGGCUGCGAGAACUUGCCUAAACCUUAUCAUUUAGAGGAAGGUGAAGUCGUAACA
This 325-nucleotide ribosomal RNA is filed under the name uncultured eukaryote. RNAcentral's name for it is "partial 18S ribosomal RNA". It matches the Rfam family "Eukaryotic small subunit ribosomal RNA", at positions 1470 to 1796 of the family's 1831-position model. The record is from RNAcentral.